Molecule: unclassified non-coding RNA, 4087 nt
Filed under: Hevea brasiliensis (rubber tree)
Lineage: Eukaryota; Viridiplantae; Streptophyta; Magnoliopsida; Malpighiales; Euphorbiaceae
Source: RNAcentral
GGCUGAUACAACAUACAAAUCCAUGCCCAGGGAAAAAAAAAUAAUAAUCCCCUCAAUCAGAUUAUUAUCAUGCAUGUUCCCAAGGAGUAAGCUACUGCUAAUUACAAAUCCAUUCACCAGGGCCAAAGACUGCCCUACUUCAAUGAUCAUCAUUAGAGCAAAGAUUGCAUAAUGUACAAUCCUUCACCCAAGAAGAAAAGGGUUAAACAAAUUUCUAAUUCCAAUUAGUAGCUCCACUAAUCCAACUCAUGCAAACGAAUGAAUAUAUAUGGUGUCAUAAUCAUUCACAAAACAAAAGGAAGAUGGAAAAAUGUAUCAUAAUCUAACUGAGCUGAAGACUAAAAAUUCAGCUCGACUGUGUUUACCUAAGAGAGUUCCUAGCAAGGCCUACUAGGCAUUAGCAACACAAUUAACUGCCAUCCUAUAGAUUUUGAGACUGGAGAUAACCAAUGAAAGAAUCAAUACAAGAAACCCAUCUUUUCUGUUACAAUUUAGAUCGAGCAUCCAUACUUUACAACGCCUCCCACGACCCAUGAAUAUGGAUGAACACCAUACAGAGAUGUAACAAGGGAUGUGAAUUGAGGCAUAUGAUGGAAGUGGAAAAUGAUGUCAUUCCAAGAAACAUUGGCAUCUGAAAAUGACUGCUGAAUCAUCUGCCAAAUAAGAUCUUUGCAUUAAUACAUUCCCUUGAAAACAGGAUUUGUGCGGCAUAUGCUUGCUCCAUACUCCUCGUAUUCUGCUUUUGUGUGGCAAGCCGCAAAAAAUUCAGGUGUUGAUGCAAGAACUGAACCUCCAAACCAUACAGCAAAUCUCUGGAUGGGAUGACUGACUACGUUAACUUCCAAUGGUUGUGAUUUUACUUCAUCAUCCAGUCUAGCUUCAGAUGUAAGAACCCGUGCAUCCACAAUCUUCUUCAGAUCACGUUGCAACCUUCUACCAAAGUCCUUGAACAUGGUUGAUCCCCCAGAUAGCACUAUAUUCUAAGAUGAGAAUCAAAACCAAUAUGUACAAGUCAAAGAAAUACUCUAUUAGUGAGCUAAGAAGAUAAUGUGGAAAUAUAAAUAUUUGCAAGGGCGAUGUUUGCUUGUGUACACUGUACACAACCAAUCAAGUUAGCAACUGACAACCAUGUGUUAGAAGGAAUAACUCAUGUCAAAGUUUGUUUUAAAAAAAAUAAUAAGUUUUUUGAAAAAGGAAGAAAACAGCUAUGUGGCCCUAAGUAUAAAACCCUCAGAUCAUCGGUGAAGAAAUGCCAGACAACAGCACAGACCAUUAGGCAUUCGGGAAAGGAGUCAGAUUCCUAAUGCCAAAGUUAGCAUUAUUUGUUUUCUUAACUUAGGUAGACUUCACCUUAUACAAAGCCCUCCUUGUGUCAAUUGGCGCAGACUGAAUACACUUGUCUAUGACAGCUGGUAAAGGAGUGGUAAAGUCGCUACCAUAAAUCUCUGGAUUAAAGAAAACCUGAAGAGCAAAUUAACAAACCCUCAGAACAAAGUACUGCAGCUUGUUUAUAUGAGAAGAAUGCACAAGCAGCAAAGUUCACUAGUGUUUACUCAAAGUUCAACAUAUAUUUUGUCCCACAAAAUAAAGGAAUUAAAUCUAGUAACCUAAGAAGAUACUAAGAAGUAUGUUAUUUUCGAAGCGCCACCAUGUUAUUCCACAAGGCUAUGGCUAAAGCAAAUUUUAGUCCUGAACACACAAAGAACAGUGCCCACCGGCUUAAUAUUGAUUACAAGGAAAACAACUGCACUGACCAUGGGAGAGAACGAAUAGAAAUAUCACUAAUUACUUAAAUGGCAUGAAUACAGAACAAAACUGCUUCGGGAUUGCCAUGUAAUAAACAGAUGCAUAUUAACAUGAAGGAAUUUUACAAGUCCAUUAGUUCCUAUGGUUAUUGAGGCUUCACAACCAACUCCAACUGGAAUUGCUGAAAGGAACAAAAUAGUAUUUGCAUAAACAAUCUUACAAUAAUGAAGACCUUACUUGAUUAAGAAAAUUCUGGGUAGUAAUUCAAUCAAAUAUUUAAGACUAUGGCAAGAAAAAAAGGUCUAACAAAGGAAGAUAGAACACAUAGAACAUGCCUCAGGGCCAAGAAAUCGUUCAUAGCCAAUAUCACAGGAGUAUGGUGCCCCUGUUUUGGGUUUAAUACCCCUCCAAUGCUUAAUAUACUUCGCUGGUUCUUUGUCAUGCUUGUUGUACUCCUUAACAAUGUCAGAACAUGUGUAGCAAUACAUUUCCUUCACUUUUCGAGCUACAUCAAAUGAAUCUUCUGGUGGUACAUUCUCUCCUCUUUCCUGCAACAUACAAUUUUAACAAGCAAGAAGCCAUGAACACAAAUUAUUACAUACAAUCCACAAAUCAAAACAUUUAAAAUUAUCACUUAUGGAGCCUUUUAAUGACUUCCACAAAUGCGGUGUUUAAAGCAUUUGAAAGCCAAAGAAAAAAAAAAAGCCAAUCUAGCAUACUGAUCUAUCUCUCCCACCAGUACAAACUACAGAACCCUUGACUUUAUGAGGUUUUUUUUUAUUUUAGCAUAACGAGAGCAAGCUCCCAGGAACGUGAUUAUAGUAAAAUGAUACAAUCAAAGCAACGCUAUUUUUUACCUCUCAAACUUAUUAUAUAUUAUUUUUAUGGAUGUUUUUUUAAUAUUCAAAUCAUCUGAAUCAAUCAGAUUAGUGAACAACCAUAAACAAGGGAAUGCUAAAUGAAAAAUCGUGCAUCUUCCUUUUCCUGCCUCCCUCUCAUUUGCUUCUGUCCUCUUUUCAAACUAGAACCAAAUAUAGUCCAAAAGAUGAUAUCAAGGAAAUAUAUCUACAAAAUGCUAGCAACCACAGAGCCCUACUAUUAAAAAUUGAAGACAUACCCGCAUGAGCUGCUGAAUAAAGAGAGUGACAUCUUUACCAGCAAUAGGAACUGACUUAAUGCUGCUCCCAAUAACAUAACCAUCAGCAACAGGUACAACAUGAGUAGCCCCAUCUCCAACAUCCACCACAACCCCUGUCAUCUCACACUUGGAUGCUGUGUAACCAGCUGCUAGAGCAAGCACCGAAUUGACCGCAAUAUAAAGCCCAGGAACAUUAAACGUCUCGAACAUAAUCUCACCGGUGUACUCGCGACUCUCCGGUGCAGUAAGUGGGCUCUCGGUCAAAAGAAAGUAAUGAUCCUCUGGAUCGCAUCGCAAAUAAUUGAAUACACACUCCUGCCAGUACCUUUCCAUGGCGUCCCAAUUGUCAACCUGACCAUGUUUGAUUGGAUAGCUAAGAUUAUAAGUAUUACUCGAUCUCGAUUUAGCAAUGGCCUCCUCUCCAAUAAAGAAGUCUAGAUCGGCCAUAACCCCAGCGCUAUGCUGCGCAAGCCAAUUCGCUUUAGAAGUUCUAGAUUGAUUAAGAAAAGAAUCGUUAACAGCAACUACAGUUGGUAAAAUAAAACACGGCUCUACAUUUCCCGCAAAACCCAUUUUAGUAUACCCGGUGCCAUUGUCGAUGACGACAGCAGGGCGAGAGGUGGGGUCCAUGGGAAUGGGAGAGGAAGAGGAAGAGAAAACGGUGGUGGAGGAAUUGAAGAAGGAUCUGCGAGGGAGAUCCAAGAGAGGGGAUGAGAGAGAGGUUCAUGGUCGGGAAGGGCGCUUAGAGAAGCGCAAAAAGGAAGGUGAAUUGGUGAUGGUGAUGAGGGUAGAAUUAGAUCCCAAGUGAAAGCAGCGACUCAAUGAUAAUGGCAGCUUAGAGUUGGUGAAUAAUAACAAUGAUAAAAAUCUACCCAUCUCAACAAAUGCACAGAAAAUUUGGUGUCUUCAUCAACUUGAGCAUCAUCAUCCUCACCGCUCUCUGCUUAUCUAAUCUGUGUAUGAAUCUGCUGUGUGUUUUCGAUUUGGAUUCUUUCCUUGCCUUGCCUAUACAAACUAAACACAAAGCGCCCAACCCAACACGGAAACGACGACGACGACUCUCUCUCUCGUCUUCGUGGGAUUGUUAUUUUAAUUUUAAUGAGGACAGUCAAUUGACUAUCGUACGAUUUUCGACCGUCAGAUUCUUAAACUUACGUGGGACCUAUGAGUGUUGGAAUCAGAGUGGCGGUACCGUGGUGUGAC